AGAGUUUGAUUAUGGCUCAGGAUGAACGCUAGCGACAGGCUUAACACAUGCAAGUCGAGGGGCAGCAUAAAAGUAGCAAUACUUGGUGGCGACCGGCGCACGGGUGAGUAACGCGUAUGCAACCUACCUAUCAGAGGGGAAUAACCCGGCGAAAGUCGGACUAAUACCGCAUAAAACAGGGGCACCGCAUGGUGAUAUUUGUUAAAGAAAUUCGCUGAUAGAUGGGCAUGCGUUCCAUUAGGUAGUUGGUGAGGUAACGGCUCACCAAGCCGACGAUGGAUAGGGGAACUGAGAGGUUGGUCCCCCACACUGGUACUGAGACACGGACCAGACUCCUACGGGAGGCAGCAGUGAGGAAUAUUGGUCAAUGGGCGGGAGCCUGAACCAGCCAAGUCGCGUGAAGGAAGAAGGAUCUAUGGUUCGUAAACUUCUUUUGCAGGGGAAUAAAGUGCAGGACGUGUCCUGUUUUGUAUGUACCCUGAGAAUAAGGAUCGGCUAACUCCGUGCCAGCCGCAGC
This 517-nucleotide ribosomal RNA is filed under the name uncultured bacterium. Its description in RNAcentral is "bacterial SSU rRNA". It matches the Rfam family "Bacterial small subunit ribosomal RNA", at positions 8 to 518 of the family's 1533-position model. The record is from RNAcentral.